Molecule: long non-coding RNA, 513 nt
Organism: Lytechinus pictus (painted urchin)
Lineage: Eukaryota; Metazoa; Echinodermata; Echinoidea; Temnopleuroida; Toxopneustidae
Exons: 4
Source: RefSeq, a predicted model, not a curated record
UGUAAUGAAUGCUCUUCUUCUCUUCAUUGAAGGAUAUAAGGAAGGUGUGAUUGACCGUCAGGAACUAAUCGCUCUGUUAAUAGAUGUCCUCUACCAACAGUGAGAUAUGCUCAGAGCAAAGAGAAAGCGUGUUCUGUUUGACUAUGUCAAGGAAUGUAUCGAGAAGAGGUGUGAUCCUCCUUGGAUCAAGGAAAAGUUCAUUAACGAUAAAAAAGGACGUGGAGUUAUUGCUGGGGAGGACAUCCCAGAGGGCCAAUUUUUGGCUGAGUAUUCAGGGAUUUUACUGACAGGAGAUGUUGGAAAACAAAAGGAGGAGUGUGAAGACACUCCCAGUGUCUUCCGAUAUUUUUUCAAGUGGAAAGGGAAAGAAUGGUGUUAUGAUGCAACUGAAGAACCAACUAGUGGUCCACGACUCGGCAGACUGGUCAACCACGGCGAUAAAUGUGAAAGAAACAGUAAGAUGAAGGUUAUAAGUUCUGUGGAAAGUAGACCUCUACUCUGCCUAUUCAGCUC